AAAAUAAAAAAAUGUAAAAAUGAGGCCUAAAUAUUCUAAAUUUGUUUGAAAGCUCCAGAAGUGGGCGCUCCUUCCAUAUUUUGAACUCCAUACAUACAUCUCAAUGUUUUUUGUGCUAAAUUCAUUCAAGAGAAAUGACUUGAAAACAACAUGUACCAACCUUCCAAUGGAGACCGUUACACAUCGUGAUGGACCCUUUUUUUUGUGGUUGGAUGUGAUUUUCUUGUAGCCCACAAGACUCCAACAUUUAAAAUUUUAAGUCAACAUGUGUUUCUUAUGCCAAGCUCUGAGAUAUUAUGAUUCUGAGGCUCUGUACAAAGUUUGGCAU
Molecule: long non-coding RNA, 328 nt
Filed under: Phoenix dactylifera (date palm)
Lineage: Eukaryota; Viridiplantae; Streptophyta; Magnoliopsida; Arecales; Arecaceae
Description: long non-coding RNA (PDAC_LNC001931)
Source: RNAcentral